GGAGCUGUGAUCCUGGAGAGCCCUGCCCUUCCUGUGACUGAGGGAGAUUCUGUGACUCUGCGCUGCAGAUAUCAGGAACUCCUCUAACCUCACAGAUGAUUUCUACAAAGAUGGAUCCCUCAUCAGGACUGAGACUACAGGAGAGAUGACCAUCCCUGCAGUAUCCAAGUCAGAUGAAGGACUCUACAAAUGUACCAACUCUGAAGGAGAAUCACCAGAGAGCUGGAUGACUGUGACAGCUAAGGGAUCUACCCCCACCCCAUCCUCUCCUACCUCCUCUCUCCUCCUCCUUCUGUCUGUCUCUGGGUUGGUGGCUGCUCUCUCCAUCUCUCUGAUCAUUCUACUGGUCCUGUUCUGCAAGAAGAGGAACAAAGAUGUAGCAGCUGAACCCAGAGAUGUUACGAAUGCUGACGUUAGAAUCACACAGGACCCAGAACCCAGGAGAAGGAGAGAGAAGUCUCCAGGAGCUGAUCCAGUCUACUCUGCAGUGAAGACCUCCAACACCACAGUUCCAGGUGGAUCCGGUCCAGGUGAUGUGACCUAUGCUGACGUCAACAACACAAAAAGACAACACAACAGGAGGAGAGAGAACGUCGUUCCAGACCCUGUCUACUCAGCAGUGAAGACAGACAGACCGAGAUACAGGUAGAGCUGUAUCUGGACCCAGGGAAGUAAUGUACAGACUGAGUGACCCUGUUCAUCAGAACGUCAUGGUGGGUGGAAAAAGAUGCUCUCUUCAGCAGCGGUGAAUAACCACAACCCUAGGACCUGAGCCCUAGGACCAUGCCUCAGGACUACCUGGCAUGAUGACUCCUUGCUGUCCCCAGUCCACCUGGCCGUGCUGCUGCUCCAGUUUCAACUGUUCUGCCUGCGGCUAUGGAACCCUGACCUGUUCACCGGACGUGCUUGUUGCACCCUCGACAACUACUAUGAUUAUUAUUAUUUGACCAUGCUGGUCAUUUAUGAACAUUUUAACAUCUUGACCAUGUUCUGUUAUAAUAUCC
This 1004-nucleotide long non-coding RNA is filed under the name Salmo salar (Atlantic salmon). Its description in RNAcentral is "lncRNA (ENSSSAG00000110112.1)". The record is from RNAcentral. Lineage: Eukaryota; Metazoa; Chordata; Actinopteri; Salmoniformes; Salmonidae.